This is a non-coding RNA of Mus caroli (Ryukyu mouse), 376 nucleotides long. The record is from RefSeq and is a predicted model, not a curated record. NCBI's taxonomy places the organism in Eukaryota, Metazoa, Chordata, Mammalia, Rodentia, Muridae.
UCUGCCUGCAUGUCACCAUGCUUCACUCUGCUGAUAGGUUGAAGCUCAAGAACGAAAUGAUGGCCCAAGAUCACUGGGAAUGGACUGGACUCAUCACUCAGGGUCACAGCGCACUGGGAUUAGGACUACCUUUCCAGUGCCAGUGGCUCCCACAUUUCAAAUGACUCACCCUUCUGGCUUUGAAACAUUAGAAUACAAAGGGAAGAAGUGGUGCAGCAUUUAAAGACAGCUUCCCCUUCAUCUGACUUCAAAGGGCAACACUUCUGUGAGUGAGACCAUUUCCCAGUGCAAAACAUGCAGUACAUUUCAAGGCAUGUUGGGGAGGCUCUAGCCUAAGCUUUCAAUGUUUCUGUGUCUGCCUCAGAAACGAAACUCA